AUGUGCCCAGGGAUGUGCCCGAGGCACCGCCGCUCCCGGGGCUGCUCCAUCAACUGCCCUGGCCUUUGCUCCUCGGCCGGGGGGCAAAAUCCGAGUGCUGCUGUCCCCAGGACCAGAUCUGCUGUCCCCAGUGUCAGACCCGCUAUUCCCAAAGCCGGAUCUUCCACCCCCAGGGCCACACCUGCCAUCCCUAGGAUGAGACCAUCCACUUCCAGUGUCGCAAUUUCCAUCCUCAGUGUCACAGCUUCCAUCCCCAGGGUCAAACUCACCACCCUCAGGGUCAGACCUGCCAUUCCCAAGGUCACAACUCCCAUCCCAAAUGUCAAGACCUGUUUUCCAGUGCCAGAGUUUCCAUUCCCAGUGCUAGUCCUGCCAUCCUUAGGGUCAGACCUGCCAUUCCCAGGGUCACAAUUCUUAUCCCAAAUGUCAGACCUGUUUCCCAUUGCCACACCUUCCAUUCCCAGUGCCAGCCCUGCCAUCCUUAGGGUCAGAUCUGCCACACCCAGUGUCACACCUGCCUCCUCCAUUGUCCCAUCUCCCAUCCCAAGGGUCACACCUGAUACCCAGUGCCAAACCUUCCAUCCCCAGUGCCAGGGCUGAUCCCCAGCGUCACACCUGCCAUCCCCAGUGUCCCAUGCCAGGAUCAGAGCCAGCACCCGGCUGUGACAGCAGGCUCCUGCCAGCUGUCUGCAGAGCUUGGGGAAUGCUGUCUGUGGCCACACAGGCACGGUGCUGCUGUAAGAGCGACCUGCAGGGAGAGGGGCUGGAUGUGCUGAGCUCUCCUCGCAGCUCGCAAGCGGCGGGCAGCCCCCGGGGCAGGGUCCCAGAGCUCCCGGCUCGUCCCCACCUCGUGCCCCGAACCAGCCGGUGAUCUCACGUGAAUGAGCUCAGAGCUGGCUGCGUCCUGCCAGGAUUUACAUGGGAGGCUCCAGAGAGUCUGUGUGUACUCACAAGCCUCCCGCCGAGAGCCACAGCUCUCCCCGAGGGGAGGAGGAGCGGGGCUCCCUUUCCUGCUUCCCCACCCUGCCCUGCCAGCCCCGGCUCCUGGCAGCCCGCCUGCUCCGGGCGGCCCACGCUGCUUCCCGGGCGGCUGCGGGAGCCAGGACAGGGAGAUCCAGCCCUCCUGGACCCCUCACUGCUGCCCUGCACUCCUGCAAUCCCAUAGCCCUGCGCUCCUGUAUCCCCGUGCCCUGCAUCCCAGUGUUCCUGCAUCCCUGCAUGCUCAGUCCUGCAACCCCACACCCCUACACUCUUGAAGCCCCUGCAUCCCUGCAAUCCUGUCACUGUGUCACUGCAUCCCUGUAUCUGUGUGCCCCUAAAUCCCUUUUUGUGCCUCUGCAUGCCUGUAUCCUAAAUCCCUACAUCUCUGUGCCCCUGCAUCCCUGCAUCCUGUUUCCCCUCUAAUCCCCUGCAUCCCCACACUUGCACAUCUGCACCCCUGCACAUGUACUUCCCAUCAUCCCUGUGCCCCUGCAUCCCUGUAUCUUAAAUCCCUACAUCUCUGUGCCCCUGCAUCCUGCCUCCUCUCUAAUCCCCUGCAUCCCCACACCUGCACAUCUGCACUUGUGCUUCCCAUCAUCCCUGUGCCCCUGCAUCCCUG
Junco hyemalis (dark-eyed junco) is the source of this 1600-nucleotide long non-coding RNA. The record is from Ensembl. Lineage: Eukaryota; Metazoa; Chordata; Aves; Passeriformes; Passerellidae.